CAGCAGCCGCGGUAAGACGUAGGAUGCGAGCGUUGUCCGGAUUUAUUGGGCGUAAAGAGUUCGUAGGUGGUUUGUUAAGUCUGAUGUUAAAGACUGGGGCUCAACCCUGGAAAUGCAUUGGAUACUGGCAGACUUGAGUGUGGUAGAGGCUAGUGGAAUUCCCAGUGUAGCGGUGAAAUGCGUAGAUAUUGGGAAGAACACCGGUGGCGUAGGCGACUAGCUGGGCCAUAACUGACACUGAGGAACGAAAGCCAGGGUAGCGAAUGGGAUUAGAUACCCGCGUAGUCCCUGUCUCUUAUAC
Molecule: ribosomal RNA, 301 nt
Filed under: uncultured bacterium
Lineage: Bacteria
Description: partial 16S ribosomal RNA
Rfam family: Bacterial small subunit ribosomal RNA
Source: RNAcentral